This 774-nucleotide ribosomal RNA is filed under the name uncultured Neocallimastigales. Its description in RNAcentral is "partial large subunit ribosomal RNA". It matches the Rfam family "Eukaryotic large subunit ribosomal RNA", at positions 18 to 644 of the family's 3401-position model. The record is from RNAcentral. Lineage: Eukaryota; Fungi; Neocallimastigomycota; Neocallimastigomycetes; Neocallimastigales.
CAGACGAUGCGUCAUGCAUAUCAAUAAGCGGAGGAAAAGAAACUAACAAGGAUUCCCCUAGUAACGGCGAGUGAAGCGGGAAGAGCUCAAAUUUGAAAUCUUAAAGGGUUUCCCUUUACGAAUUGUAGUUUAAAGAAGUGUUUUCUGUUGAGGUUUUGGUAAAAGUUCUUUGGAAUAGGACAGUCAUAGAGGGUGAGAAUCCCGUAUUUGACCUUUACUUUCAACUUUGUGAUACACUUUCAAAGAGUCGGAUUGUUUGGGAAUGCAGUCCAAAAUGGGUGGUAAAUUUCAUCUAAAGCUAAAUAUUGGCGAGAGACCGAUAGCGAACAAGUACCGUGAGGGAAAGAUGAAAAGAACUUUGAAAAGAGAGUUAAACAGUACGUGAAAUUGUCAAAAGGGAAGCGUUUGACACCAGUGUUGUUUUUCUGAAAAUCAAUUAAAGAACUGUUUAUGCUAAGCUGUUUAGACUUUAUCAGCUAUCUGUUUAGUUUUGAGCUUUUCUUUAAUGCACCUUUCAGUUAACAAGUCAACAUCAAUUUCUUUUGCUGUAAAAAAGCUUGAGGAAGGUGGCUUGAGAUUCGUCUUAAGUGUUUAUAGCCUCUUGCCUAUGCAGUCGGAGAGAUUGAGGUCUGCAGCGUAGAUCCUUCGGGGCUAAAUGCAUUUGUGCUAAGUUAUAGCAUUUCAUAGACAACUUGUUGACUAUGAUUUGUCUUGUAGCUUACUCGCUUAUGUUAUUUUACCUACGCUUAGGAUGUUGAAUCUGUGCGAGACUAC